UCAAACUACGCUGGACAGUUUGUCUGCACGGUUACUUUUAUUCAAUCUCAGAAUCAAACUAUCACCUUCCGAGGCAUUACAAUUAACAUUCGACCGGAUAAAACUAAAAACAAAUUAAUAAUCUACUUUCAUCAUCAAUACAUCUCUUUGCUAUCAUUUUUUUUUACUAAUCUUACAAACUAAAAACGAAAAACGAAAGCAAAAACAAAUAUGACCACCAUCAUCAUCGUAUAAAACCCGGGAUACAAAGACGACUUCUGAUCAUCACAGAGGAUUACCGAAUUGACGAGCAGCAGCUUACAGCGGCAGCGAGCAGCAGCACCUGCGGCGGUGGUUUUCGAUUUGAGGAUGCACCAGCGGCAGUUUCGAUCGCAAGCAGUACCAGCAGCUUCCGGCAGCGCGAUCAGUGGCAGCAACCCGCGUUCAGUGGAAAGAUCGUGACUGCGAUGGAUGUCGUUUACGCUCUCAAGAGGCAGGGCACAGCUCUUUAUGGAUUUUGGGGGUUAAUUGUUUUAGGUUCUGGAAUUGAAUGUUAAUAGAUCUUGACUCUAGAUCUAGAUCUGGUAGUUGGUGUUCUUGGUAGUUUGUUAUUAGGCUGGUGUUUUGUAAUUCUAUCAAGUUGUAUCCGUGUGUGUUUUGUUUGUGUGUGUUAAGUGCGCGCGCGUUUAGUUCGUGUGUGUGAAGACAUUUUGCAUUAGUGUUUGUUGGUGGGGGGGUUUUUAUGUAAAUUUAUUUGUUAUUAAAAUGUAAUUACAAUAUUAGCCUUUUAUGCUGCGUUUACUUGUGGAUUGGAGUAAGAAUCCUGAGGAGUGGGAAUCCUUGGAUUAGGAGUGUGGAGUGGGAGUGGGAGUAUGGUGUUUACUUAGACUAAAUGAAAGUAUGGAUUGUCAAUUAGAAUCCCAAUUAUUUGUUUACUUUGUCUUGGAUUGGGAGUAAAUUAUUUUAAAUUACAAUUUUAUCGUUAUGUACAGAAUUAUAAUUUGUAAUUAAAAAAUUAAUAAAAAAUAUAUUUGGAAAAUAAAAUAAAUAUUUUAUUAUAUUUAUAAAUUAAUAAUAAUUACUAAUAUUCUUAAUUAUGUAAAUCAUAAUUUUUUAUUAAUUUUAAUUUAAAUUAUGUGAAUAAAAAUUAUUAAUAAUAGCAACACAAAUGAAAUAUUAUUAUUGAUAAUAUAGUACAAAAUUAAUAUUUUUUNNNNNNNNNNNNNNNNNNNNNNNNNNNNNNNNNNNNNNNNNNNNNNNNNNNNNNNNNNNNNNNNNNNNNNNNNNNNNNNNNNNNNNNNNNNNUUAUUUAUUUAUUUUAAUUUUAUAAGGAUAAAAUGGGAAGAGGGGGGAGUGGAUUCCCACUCCCACCUCCCCCAAUGGGAGUGGGAAUCCCACUCCUCACUCCAAAUUUGGGUGGAACCCACGGAUUCCCACUCCCACUCCCCUUUUUUUAAGGUAAGUAAACACUAGAGUGGGAGGAAUCCACACUCCACACUCCCACUCCAGAAAGUAAACACUACCUUAAUGAUUUAAAAAAGUUAUUUCCGUUAAUAAACGAGCGUGUGAAUGGUUUUAUGUCCCUUUCAAUUUUUUUUUUCCCCUCAUACGUCAUAUGUACGGCAUGCAACUUGCACCACUCAUUACCAGUAUACACUGUCUUAAUUUUACUUUUUAGAAGACUUAUCGAAGACUUUGGUAUGCGCCAAAUUUGCAGAAUCUCGGGGAUCAGGACUCACAAGUCACAACUCACAAGUAGAAAUAUUUGCAGAAAAAGUAAGCAGUUUCAGAAACUACAAUGUUUCCAUUUUCUCAGUUGUUGAAGCUUAAAAAGAGGUUCAUAACUUGGGUACGAUAUUACGUCUGUUUUUGUAAGGCUGCUGCAUUUAUGUCAGGUAAUUUUGCUUGAUGUGGCAUUAAUGUAUUUAUGUAGUUAAGAUGGUGUACUUAAUAUCUUUGAUUAAGUUGGGCUAAAUAAUAAAAACAUGGCAACAGUUCUUAUGUUGUUCUUGUAGUUUUCAUGUGUAUGCUUUUUUCAGUGAGCACGAACAUUUCUUCUAAUGAUUAUAUUUUGAGUCCAGGUUUGUUGAUAAGCCGCAAACUGGUAGACUUGGCUGUAGUGGGCGUCUUGAUAACUUACUUCUCCGACUCCAAAUAUUCAGAACUAUUCACACUUCAGAAAGCUGCUAUAUUUACGAGUAUUCAGGAUGGAAUAUUAGCAACUCUUGCGGUUGUUGCCGCCUGGAUUUCGUGUUAUGCCAUCCGUCCUCUCACAAUCCUCAUAUUUUCAACUGUCUCCUACAUCCUUGUGAGUAAAUAUGUUUUAAAUUUGCUAAGCUUCCAAACAGAGACAAAAUUAAAACAUAUGUCUAUCAUCUGCAAGAAAUACAUAUCCAGGGGUGGACCCUGGAUUUUGUAGUACUUUAGGAUAAAUUUAGAAAUUAUUAUUUUGCAGCAUAUGUUAAAUUUCACAGAAUGUAGAGAAAAAUAUACAUAAUAAGAGGAUAUCAGGAGCCUUACCCCUAUGAAAAGAAUGCUAAAGAUCCCAAUAGUUAAGCUAUAAUUGAUGUGGCAUGUAUUCAUUUUGGCUGCACUCCUGAUUAUAAUAAUGAUUAAAAAAAGCAUUUUUAGGAUCAUAACGUUAAACUGUACAAUUAGUUCCAACAAUUUUUGUUGCAGGCACUGGGGCUAUUGUUCUAUACAGCGUCCAGAGAUCUUUCAGAAACCAACUUGAUAGGAAUUAUCCUGUUAGCAGUGGCUGAAGUUGGAGUGGCACCUCUUCUGGGACCAUUUCUUGCCGAUCAAUUAAGAGAACAUGGUGAAGGAGGGAGCACAGAAAAUACAAAUGAGAAUCAAGUAAUGGCUCAGAAAAGAGUGUGGUGGCGGUUUGCCUGGUGCUGUGGUGUGGCUGCGGCAUUCUAUGCAAAUAAUAUUAAAACAUGGGGGAAGACUUUCAUGUUCACAUUGUUGUUUAUGGGGGGCAGUUUGAUCCUGCUGUUGUUGGGUAUUCCCUUUUAUCAUAGUAGACAAAUACCUCCUGUUGACCGUUUUGCUAUAAUCCAAGUUGUUAAAACUUCCCUGAAGAAAAAGCAUCUCAAUUAUCCUCUUUCUCCGGAGCAGUUCUUCAGUAAUGAUGAGGGAAACGUACUACGCUUGUCACCCAGAAUCAAAUUACUCAGGUAUACACCUAACAUGUAUACACCCACAGCCGGCCGUGGUCUGGCAAAAAUUGUCGGAGAGACCCUCUUAUUUUUAGUAAUAAUUGCAUAGACCUCUUUAUGGACACACUGAUAUCCUUUUGUGUUUACAAAUGGUCACACUGACCUCUAAGAUUUGUCCAAAAGGGUGUAUUUAUAAAAGAAUCUGUGUGAUCAUUUUACCGAACCAUGAGCUGCUGCAUUCUAUUUUCCCUAAAAAAUUAGGAAUAAAUUAAUUGUUUGAAUUGCAGAUGGAUAGACAAAGCGGCAAUUAUAGAGCCAUCAAGUACUUCUAAAGAACAAGAAGAGGCUGGCACACUUCGCACUGUGGCCCAGGUCAGGGAGUCAAAAUAUCUUUUUAAAUUGUUGCCAUUGUGGUCUAGCUUCAUUGUGUUUGGAUUGGUUCUGUCAGCGGGAAAUACAUUUUUUCCUGAGCAGGGAGCCAAAAUGAUUUCUGCACGUUAUUUAAUCUUUCUACUUACUUUUGAAGCCAUAAUUCAUGCGACGAUCUCUUAUCUGUCGAAAAAAUUAAUUUCCAAGUUUGUUCCGGAAACGAAGCAGAGACAAGCUCAAGUAUUGAGAACAUUCAUUGGAAUGGUGAUGUCUACAGUUUGCUGUGUAGUGUCAUGGCAGGUUGAGGUUCGCAGGUUGGAAAAGAGCAAACAAUGGGAAAAUAUGAGUGCUGUGAAAAGACCAUCCAAACAAUGGGAAAAGACCAUCCAAGGUUUUGGCUUGUUCCACAAUUCUGUCUAUUGGGUCUUAUGGAAGGGCUUGCUUUGCAUGGAUGUGAUGAAUACGCGAGCUCUCAUUUUCCUGAACGGAUGGAGUACCAUGUAUCAGUAAUAAGUUCUUUUUUCGUCGGAAUUGGAAGCAUUUUUAACAUCUUUUUCAUUUUGGCAAACAAAGGCGACUUGGCUAAAACCUUGGAUGGUAGUAGGCUUGAUAAGUACUAUAAGAGUUUAACAGUUAUUAGUGCUGUGAACGUGUGCUACAAUUUGCUCUUGUCGAUUCUCUACAUAGUAAGCGAUCAGAAAGUAGAUAAUGAGGGACUACAGACAAACAAUUAAUACUACAGACGCCGUUGCCGUCUAAAUCAUCUUAUUUAGCUGCCUGGUUAUAAAAUUGGAGCUCAGAUAUAGAGAGGCUGCUGAACAUGAAUUUUAUUUUCAAGCGACAGUUUCACUUUAUACUGUAGCUGAAAGCCUAAAGCUGCUGUGACCAGAAAGCAUUGCUUGUACGCAUCAGAUCCCAUGUAUGUAGUUUAGUAUUAUAAGGCUUAAUUUAAGUGAUUAUCGAUCUUAUAUAUGCUAGUACUCUUCUCAUUAAUAAGGGAAGUAUUACAACUUUGACAUUGUUUUGAUAUAUAACAUUUCUAUAGUUAUGUCCUUGCCAAAUUUUCUAUUUUAAUUUUUAUAGUAUUCUUUUUCUUGACUGAGCAGGGAAGGUGCCAAAUUAAAAAUCGAAAUGGCCAAAUUUAUUAAAGUUAAAUAUAUACCACUAUUAUUAACAUGAUAAAACAGGUUUAUUUUACCAUUAUUUUUGUUAACAUUAGGUUAACAUUUAGUCUCUUUAUCAUUUUUUUUAAUAAUUAUUUCACCAUUAAAGCUUUCUUUUCAUUUAAGAUCUAGCUUUUAAGCAACACUGUAAAUCCAUAAUAGUAUGUCCAAACGGAGAAGGUGAAACGUUAACUAUAAAGCAGCAAUAUGCUGUAGCUCGGAGAAGGUGAAACGUUAACUAUAAAGCAGCAAUAUGCUGUAGCUAAUUGAAAUUUUGUCCACAUAAAACAAAGCCACAGCCCAGUCUAUUAUUGUGCUGUGCUACCCACUGGUUGGUGGUCCCCGGAAUUGACUGUUAUUGAUAAUUUAUAAUUAAUUUAAUCAUGAUAAAUAAUGCAGAAUCAAAUUUACAAAUUUCCAUAUCAUCGUGGUGACGUUAUAUGUCAACAUGUUGCACGUGGCAAGCCAGCAAUCAUAUAAAUGGUAUCUCCCAAAAGCAAUCAUCAGCAAGUUAGCACAUGUACUUCAUAAUUCACCGAGUAAUAGAUAAUUCACCAAGCAAUGGGAAGCAUUACUUGUGACAGAGUUAGCGAGUUGAAAGCUUUUGAUGACACGAAAGCUGGCGUUAAGGGACUCGUAGAUGCUGGGAUCACAACCAUUCCACAGAUCUUCAUUCAAGACCAUCACACUAAAUAUAAGUUUGAUGAUAAGCCAAUCUGCAGGGACCCCAAAAUCAGCAUCCCAAUCAUAAACCUUCAAAGAAUACACAAGGAUUCAAGCUUGCGUUCUCAGGUAAUUGACCAAAUUAGAAGUGCUUGUGAGGAGUGGGGUUUCUUUCAAGUGAUCAAUCAUGGAAUCCCAACAAGCAUUUUGGAUCAAGCCGUUGAUGGGAUCCGUAGGUUUUUUGAACAAGAUGUUGAGGUUAAGCAGAAAUAUUAUUCUCGUGAUUACUCCAAAAAAAUUAAAUAUUGUUCAAAUUUAAAUUUGUAUAGUGCACCAACCCUCUUUUGGAAAGAUACUUUGAGUUGUGUUGUGGGUCGCGAUUUUUCAAAUCCUGAAGAUUUGCCUGAAGCUUGCAGUUAUGUGGACGAUGACCAAUAGAUUUUAUUUCUUUUACAGUGGAUAACACCUGCCUCUUUCUUAGAACUUUUUGCAUCACUUGGGUUCCUAAUAAGUUUUUAUUACUCUCAUUUCAUCUAGAUGUUAACCCAAUAAAGAAACAAUUUCUAAAAGUCGAAAUGUCAUUCUCCCUUUCUUUUAGUAGUGAUUAGUUUUUGUCUUUAUUAAUUUGCAGGGAGAUAAUGAUCACAUACAACAACCUAAUGUGGAAAACAGGGGACACUCUGUUUGAACUUUUAUCGGAAGCUUUAGGGCUUGACCCCAAUUACCUGAAAGACAUAGGUUGUGUAGAGGAAAUGACUAUUGGGAAUAGUUACUACCCUGAAUGCCCUCAACCAGAAUUGUCCAUCGGCAUAGCAACACAUUCUGACCCUGGAUUUGUCACUGUGCUCAUACAAGAUCAAAUUGGUGGCCUCCAAGUCUUUCACGAAGAUCAGUGGUUUGACAUUGCCCCUGUUCCGGGAGCUCUAGUUGUAAACUUAGGCUACAUGAUGCAGGCAAGUGUGUGUUAGAUAACUUAUUAAGAAAUACUAUCCAUCGAAUUGAAAAUUCUCUGGUGCGACAUUCGCACUAAAUCUUGUGCGGACACACACUUUCACAAUACUGUGAAAGAAUCGUCCUCACAAAAUUUCAUGUGAUCGUCUACACCUGAGCAUGAAUCUCUAUCAGAUAACUUAAUUAUCGUUUAUAUGAAGUGUGUGUUUAUGCAGCUGAUUACCAACAUGCUUGUGUUCAUGCAGCUGAUUACCAACGAUAAGUUCAAGAGUGCCUAUCAUAGAGUGUUCUCAAAUAAGGAAGGCUCCAGAAUUUCAAUCGGAAGUUUUUUCAUGAAUAAUAGUUGCUCGAGACGAUAUGGUCCAAUUAAAGAGUUGCUAUCAGAAGUAAAUCCUCCGCUCUAUCCUGAAAUUACUCUAAAAGACAUUUACAAUAACCAAUCCUUGAAGAAUAAUGAACUCUCAGCAUUGGAUAAGCUUAAGCUGGCAAGUCACAGUGGUUAAUUAAUUACUUGGCGGUAUUUUCCAAUUUUGUGGCUUGCAGAAAAAAUUAGUACUGAUGAUCAUUGUUUGUUGCUUGGAAUUGUGUCGUUCGUACUUGUAUUCAGCCUCGAGUGUGCAAGUGUUGCUUGCUAUGCUUUUUCCACUUUUGUGUACUAUUAAGAACAAAUCCAAGUGCAUUCGGAUUGAUCGUUAGGAUGAUGUUAAAUAUUAUACAUAGAUACAUGUUUUGACCGGAUUUCCUCUAGGAUCUGAUUUGAAUCAUUUUCCUCACUAGAUCUAGGUCAAAGACAAUUUAAAUAAAUAAAUUUAUAUUUGAGGUGAGAUUGGGCUGGUACAAAUCUAAGUGUGUUUUUCUACUGUUAGAAACAAAAGAAAUAACUGAGGUGAUCUGGAAGAUGAAUUGAGGUAAGCUUGGUAUUCUGCUGUUGCCUGUUGGGAGGUAAGCUUUGUGGAGCUCAUGGGAUUUAGUUUAAAGAGUUGAUUUGCGGAGGUCAAGAGAGUUUAGGGAGUAGUUCUAGCGAAUUUAAGGAUAGCUUUAACUAGAGAGCUUAUUUAGGGAACUCAAUAGAGCUUGUGGUAUGCCUCUAGUGAGCUCAUAUAUGAAAUACGAUCUGAACAUUAUCAUCAUCCUAAUAAAUAGAAAAUAAGUAUAAACAAUAAAGAACACACAAGAUUUUAGGUGGUUGGCCCUUUGAUCUACAUCCAUAAGAGUAACUCAUAUCCAAUCCACUAUAUAAAUGAAGUAUUACAUAAUUUGCAUUAUAAUAUCGACAAAAUCUUAUUAAAGAUUGUUUAUGAGGAAUAAUGACAUGGGGGAGAUAUGAGUCUCAUAGAGAUUAGAGAGUUUUCCAAGAGAAGAGUAAGGGAAGAGGUUUCUUUGGGAGAUGAGAUGGUUAAGAUUUUCCAUGGUGGUGUUAAAAUGGAGAAAGAAACCCUAAAAAUAGAGGAUGAAGAAGAUGAAGAAGUCUCUCAAGAAAUUAGAUCUAGAAAAAAGUCUCUAAAGUUCUAUUGGCUCGUUAUUCUUAGCAAAAUAUAACCCUAAAAAUAAUGACACACUGUUCACAUACUGGGUCUAACCAUUAAAAUUUAAGUUUCGAUAAUACCCCUUAAUGUUAGACAUAUUACCGAAACUAUCUUUUUUCAUAGGGAGCUUAUCUUCUAACUUUUGAGAGCUAUAUUACCAUUCGUUCAAUCGAGUUGACUUAACUGAUUUUUUUUUGCCACAUGUCAUUAAGUCAUUAGUACAUCUUAGCAUUCAAACUUCCUUCCAAACACUACAUAACCGCUAGUAGUCCAUUAAUAAUUAACGAAAUACAUGCAAUAAUUCAUAAAUAUAAAGUCAAGUCCCUUUUAUUACUCAAAUCCAUAUGAAAGUACCCAGCAAUCCAUAUGAGCUAAAAGACUUGGACCUAAAUACCCUUGUCAAGCAUCCUUAUACCAAAGGUUAACCACUACAUCGAAUGACAGAGGGUAAAUGAACAACAAAACUAGGGGUGGGCAAAAAAACCGUAGUCUUAAAAAAACCGAACCGAACCGACGGUUUUUUCUAAUUUGGUACGGUUUUUUUUAUUUAAAAAAACCGAACGGUACAAUUUAUAAAAAAACCGAAAUGUCGGUUCGGUAUUCGGUUCAUUUAACUGAACCGAAAAACCGAACCGAAAAACCAAAUUAUUUUUAAAUUUUAUUAAAUUAAAUAUGUGUUAAUUUUUAACCGAUUGUGUAAGAUAGCUAACAUAAACUUGCAUACACACAAUCAGAGUAUAUAUAUAUGUUAGUGUUACAAUUUCGUAAAUUUUUAUUUCCCAAAAUAAACCCUAAAAUCAAAUAUAAAAAAAUUUCGUAAAUUUCGUAAAUUUCAAUUUCUUGAAGAAUUUUUUAGGCUAAUGCAAUCUUAAGAACAACAGCAAGUAGCUGAGGAGUAAAUGAUAGUUGAUUGAUGUUGCUUACCAGUAAGUUUUCUUUAUUUUUUUUUAAACUAGCAUCUUAUUAUAUAGAUUGUUUAUUUAAUUAUUUAUUAAUAGUUAGUAAGAUAUUAUUGAUAAAAUGUGUUUUGAAUACUUUGUAUUUAUUGUUAAUAUUUGUAAUGAAAUUAGGAUGAACUUGUUGAAAAAAAUUAUUACAUUUAUGAAGCCCAAUGGGCUAAAAAUUUGAAAAUUCAAAAUAGGCCCAGAACCGAAAAAACCGAACCGAACCGAACCGAACCGAAAAGAACCGUUUGAGUUCGGUUCUUUUUGAGUUUGGUUCUUAUUCGGUUCUUUUUAUAAAAUAACCGAUUUAAAUCGGUUCUACUUAAUUUCGAACCGAACCGAACCGAACCGAACCGUGCCCACCCCUAAACAAAACCCCAAUGCUGUUUUGGUAAAUCAAUUCCUUUCUCCCUCAUAUUUCAAAAGCCAUCAAAAUUUUCCCUGCCAUUAAAAAAAUUCUAAUAAACUUUCAACUUCUUAAUAAUAAAAAUUUUUCCAGUGGUAAAUUAGUAAAAGACACAAAAAGUUGAAAGUUAACAGAAUUUUUUGAACAACAAUGGAGAUUUUGAUAGGUUUUAAAACAUAAAAGAAGAAAUGAUUAAUUUUGACAUACAAUGGAGGACUGAUCAUUUUCUCUAAUAACAAAUAAACAUGAAAAUAAUGAACUUAUAAACGCAUUAGCUAGAGUUCUGAAGCAAACCCUGUCUUCGGCAAAUUUAAUCCAGAAAUGAGCCAGAGCUCUAUCAUAAGGAUCACUUGGCAUCAAGGAGGGAUUGUGUGGCCACAUCUCUUCAAUGUAUUCAAGGAUAACAAUGGACUCGCAAACGGAUUUUUCGUCAUGAACAAGCACUGGGACCUUCUUGUGAACUGGAUUAUACUUCAAAAGCAAAGCACUUUUGUUAGAGAGAUCUUCUUCAAUGUAAUCAUAUGCUAUGCCUUUCAAUUUCAGAGCCCAUAUCACUCUGUAACAAAAUGCACUCGCCCAUGCCCCAUGAAGCUUCACUUCAGCCAUGUUUCUGAAUAUUGAAGUUGAAUACCAGUGUGGUUGUUCGAAUAGCUAACUAUACAUAUGUAUCCGAAUUUAUGGAGAUCAAUGGAGCAUGUGCUUGCAAUGACUUUAAGAUCUGCAAUAAUAGCUAAAAAUUGUCAAUAUAACAGCUUAAAAGAGAAACAAUGAUCCAUACAAGACAACCGCAACAGGUAGGUUACUGAUAUCAUUAAUAGAAUAAUACAAAAAAUUUAAUUUUUCAAUAAUCAAAAAAUCAGUUUCUCAACUUAUAAUAUGUGGCUGUCGUUAAUAGGAUUAACGUCCCCAAGUUAUUGAAAGAAUUUUGAGGUAACAGGGAGGAUAUGAAAUAGAUAAUUAUAGUUGCACUUGCCUUCACUUAGAAACUCGACGCCCUUUAGUAAGGCAUGUUCUCGAAACUAGAUUAACUCAAUCUAUAAAAACACCUAUGCAGAUUGGCAAAACUGGAAGUGAAAAAUGAAGGAAAUCAAGAAAUGAGCUUACCUGCCAAUUAGGCUGCGAAAUUGAUACAUGCCAUUAUAGUUGGGGUUCUUAAUGAGCCAAGUGAACCAAUCACCCCUUGCCCAAACAUCAUUCCCUCUCAUACUCACUCUCUAGCACUUUUUUCUUCUAAUUAGUAGUCUGAAAGAACUUAUCAAAUAAAAGUUUAGACACAGAACCUCGAUACACCAAUAAAUAAAUAAAUCAAAGAAAUAAAAGUUAAAAAAGCCUUCACUUUGGACAAAUUAACAACAAUAAGACUCACAUUAAGCAAAAAAUGUUAUGAUAUCUCUGUAGAUGAAUGAAGCCAUUCAAAGUACAUGUGCCUCAGCAAACAAUUACUUGAAAACAUACGAGUGCAUAAAGUUCAAUGUCUAAUCUCCUCUAUUUAACCACCCAAAGCAAAACCUUCUAUAACAGAAUAAAUACAAGAGCAAACCAUUAUACAUACUCACUUAGGAAUUUCGUCGAGCACUUAGCCUGAACAGUUCAUAACGAACGUAGCAAAGAAUAAAAAUGUAGUCAAACAGUUAGGGAACGUAAAAAACAAACCCAGAGUUUCGGGUCUUCAGAGGGUUCAUAAAAAACACAGUGAACUUGAGCUUAUCUCGUUGGCUCGUUGCCGGUCCAACACCUGGCUUUUGUCGUCUUUCUCAUUUUGUAAAUUGCUAAACGACUUUAAGAUCUGCAAUAAUAGCUAAAAAUUGUCAAUAUAACAGCUUAAAAGAGAAACAAUGAUCCAUACAAGACAACCGCAACAGGUAGGUUACUGAUAUCAUUAAUAGAAUAAUACAAAAAAUUUAAUUUUUCAAUAAUCAAAAAAUCAGUUUUCUCGACUUAUAAUAUGUGGCUGUCGUUAAUAGGAUUAACGUCCCCAAGUUAUUGAAAGAAUUUUGAGGUAACAGGGAGGAUAUGAAAUAGAUAAUUAUAGUUGCACUUGCCUUCACUUAGAAACUCGACGCCCUUUAGUAAGGCAUGUUCUCGAAACUAGAUUAACUCAAUCUAUAAAAAUACCUAUGCAGAUUGGCAAAACUUAUAAUAGCGCAGAAUGAGGACAUGACAACUUGUCAAAUUGCAUGGCAAAAAAUGUGUUGAUCCAAACUCAGAUAUUAAGAAAUAGUACAUUCCACGAUCAGGUUUGAGAAUAUAUUUUUUAAUUAAAGUUAUUAAGGAUUUUCAUAUAACAAAUACAAUCUUCUCACAUGUGAUAUACUAUCCAUAUGCACUUGAAGCAAAUCACUACUGAUUUUACUUUUAUUUAAAUUACCUGCUACCUGAAAACAGUAAAAUGGAAGUGAAAAAUGAAGGAAAUCAAGAAAUGAGCUUACCUGCCAAUUAGGCUGCGAAAUUGAUACAUGCCAUUAUAGUUGGGGUUCUUAAUGAGCCAAGUGAACCAAUCACCCCUUGCCCAAACAUCAUUCCCUCUCAUACUCACUCUCUAGCACUUUUUUCUUCUAAUUAGUAGUCUGAAAGAACUUAUCAAAUAAAAGUUUAGACACAGAACCUCGAUACACCAAUAAAUAAAUAAAUCAAAGAAAUAAAAGUUAAAAAAGCCUUCACUUUGGACAAAUUAACAACAAAAGUUAUGAUAUCUCUGAAGAUGAAUGAAGCAAUUCAAAGUACAUGUCCCUGAACAACCAAUUACGUGAAAACAUACAAGUGCAUAAAGUUCAAUGUCUAGUCUCUUCUAUUUAACCACCCAAAGCAAAACCUUCUAUAACAGAAUAAAUACAAGAGCAAACCAUUAUACAUACUCACUUAGGAAUUUCGUCGAGCACUUAGCCUGAACAGUUCAUAACGAACGUAGCAAAGAAUAAAAAUGUAGUCAAACAGUUAGGGAACGUAAAAAACAAACCCAGAGUUUCGGGUCUUCAGAGGGUUCAUAAAAAACACAGUGAACUUGAGCUUAUCUCGUUGGCUCGUUGCCGGUCCAACACCUGGCUUUUGUCGUCUUUCUCAUUUUGUAAAUUGCUAAACGACGUAGGUUUAGGUUUGACUACUAUUACACAUAUAUUUUAUAAUUUUAUCGGCGACAAUGUUUCACUGGGGGUCAUAAUGUAGAAUUUAAUUUCUUGAAAGUCAGCCAUAACGUAGAAUCAGUGAACUUGAGGCGUAUCCAGGAAUCUGUUGUACAAAAUUAUUAACUAUUUAGGAAAACUUUUAGAAACCUCCCCUGAGGUUUGGCUUUGAUACACUUAGAGAGAAUGUAUCCAUAUAUUGACAAUAUACCCCCCGGCCAUGUAUGAAGGUUAGGCACCCGUUAGGUAGUUGAGUGAAUAUACAAUAAUGCCCUUCAGUACACAUUUCAAUGAAUGCCAAAAUUAUUGGACACGGUAGAUGAUCUUUAUAUUUGGGGCGAAAUUGUUUUUGGCCGCGGGGUUGGAGGGGGGGGGGUUUGUAGAGCAGUGAAAAGGCCAUUAUACUCUUAUGAUAAUUGCUGUUGACAUUACAUAUUCUUAUAAUAAGACAAAACUCAAAUGAGUGUUGAAAAGACCAAAAUGCCCCUUAAAACAAAUAAUUUGAUAGUGUAAAAUCACAUAAUAAGAUAAAUAAAUGAUAAUAUUUUAAAUUAAUUUAUAUAAAAACAAUACUGAAUAUCAUAAGAUUAGUAAAUGCUACAAAAAAAAAUAAAUGAUAAUAUUUUAAAUUCAUUCGAUUUUCAAACAAGAUUUGUAAAUGCUACAAAAGAGCUGCUAUGAAGGUAGCGGAAUCAGAUGACAACCCAAACAAGCUAUGUUAUUGCUGUAUGGAUAGCAAAAAUGGUUGUGGCUAUUUCAAGUUUUGGAUGCCAUCCUCAAAUGAUAUCGAUCGAGGCGUUAUAUUUGCUGGUUUAGGAACAUGUCAAGCAAAUUAUGAACUGCUGAUGAGUAUGCAAAAGGAUAUGAUGGAUUUGAAGUCACUGAUGCAAAAAGCACAACAAAAUGGAGUAAAAUGCAAUUAUAUAAAGACAAUGUUGUUCCUCAGCAUGUUUUUUCUCAUUUGUGUUGCUGUAGCUUCAACAAUGAGUGUAGUUAUGGCUGCUAAGUAGGCAUUAUACAAUAAAUGCAUGUAUUAGUACCUAAAGUAGCUAAAUGAACAUGUACUACCAUAAACUCAUCUUGAUAUCUCAAAAUCAUCAGAUCAUUAAACAACAUAUAAUGAUAACAGAAUCACAAUAGAGGUUUACAAGGAUAGCAAUUGGUACAUUCAAAUGGCCUUUUUGCAAAUGUCAUCUCUUUGGCAUUCAUUAUACGAAAGCAUCAGAAGUACUACUUUGAUAAACAAAUGAAGUCUUGUGUUUAUGUAAUUAAAUCUGUUAAUCUGUGUAUUAAAAUGGAUGUCCCAAAAGACACUUUCUCAACUGUACUGGUUCUUCAAUAAACCAACUGCCUACAAGCUCUAUAAUUAAUUUAUCUCUUACACCUUAAUGAGAACCUCAAAAAACAAUAGGCAAGCAUCCGAAUUUUAUGUUGGGAAGUACAAAUUUUUAUGUGAAGAAAGGAAAAAAAAAAAAUAGCAUCCAUUUACCAACAGAAAUCAGUGAUUGGAAUCAGUCUAUACAAAACAUCAAAAAGCAACAAGAGCAACUGUCUCAAUCUUACAUGAACUGCCCACUUGUAAAAUAAAAAAAGAAACAAAACAACACCAUAAGCAUUUUCUCAGCAACACCUCUGUAUUCUUAGAAGAAGCUUGGAUUUUUCUCAAUUUAAAGAACAUAUCAAGCAAAUUUCAGUGAGCAUUCAAAACCCACAGUCCAAAAUCAUCAAAAAAUAAAUCAUUUGCAUGGUUUACACAACAUUUCGAAUGACUAUCAACUCAAAAAUCAUUUCAGAUAUAUUCGGUCACUACUUCAAUUUCUAUAAACCCUAAACAUUUUUCUCAAUUAAUGGGAACAAAGAAUAAAGCACCUAACUAACAGCAAUUUUCAACAAAAUGCAAGAAAAUAAUAAAACCUAACUUCAGUUUUAAGCUUUGAUAGAAUUACGCACCUAGUGUGCCCUUUAAUCACCGGCUUUUCAGCUGCUGGUCGUCGUCGAAAUUUGGUUCAAAACAUAGUUGAUUUCAGAAACUUGUUAGCUUACUGCAUCACAAAGUAUCUCUGCUUUUGCUAAAAUCAGUUGGUGUCACGACCUUCGAAAUGAAGGUAAGCACUCAUCAAGUGAGAAAAAAAAAAAAAAAAUGAAGCUAGGUAUUGACAAUGAAAAUGGGUUACCAUCCCCUCGGGUUUCACUAGCUGAUUAGUUACAGUAUAAUAGCUUUUGUAAGAUUUUUUAAAAAAAAAUACUGCAACUACUUAAUCAGUGCCUAACCCUUAUAUACACGGACAAGGGGUAUAUUAUCCAUUAGAUAAUAAUGUUAUAAAUUUUUGUAUAAAUUUAUUUUGUAUAAAUUGAUGUGAUAUGAUGAAAUUACUUGAAUUAAAUAUCUCUGGACCCACAUGAUAUAUUUUUAUUAUUUUACAUUUUUAUUCAACCAAUGAAUUAAUGACAAAUAAAUUUAUACAAGAUAAAUUUGUAUAAAAAUUUAUGGUUGUAUCAUCACUCUUGUCAAUAGAUAGAUACAUUCUCUCUAAAAAUGAUCUAAAAGUGAAGCAAAGCCAAACUUUAGGGGAAGUAUCUAAAAAUUAUCCUAACUAUUAAUUGAAGGGUGUGAAUAUUUCCACCCCACUAUUUUUAUAAACCCCCUCCACCUCCAUAAAAUAAUUACAAUAAAUUUACAUUAUUUUAUAAAAUUACAAAUUAAUAAAAGCUUUGAAUAAUUAAUUAAUUAAAUCAAUUUUAUAAUUUUAUUUUUAUUUUUAUUUUUUGGACUUAAGCUUUUAACAAUCUUUAACUUUUGAAGGUUGCCUCAAGAUAAAUUUAAUUUGACUAUUUUACCCUUAUAAUAUAAAAUAACCAAAUUACUAUAUAUAUAUAUAUAUAUAUAUAUUUAUCGUAACUAAUUGCUUAGGUUUUUAUAUAAAAUUUAAUUAUUUUCAUUCCACCACAUGUCCUAAUUAUAUUUUGUUAGUUUAGUGGAGAAAUAAUAAUUGUACUAACAAUUACUUAUAUAUCAUUAAAAUAUUAAAAAAAAUUGCAUAAAAUUUUAUUAAAGUUAAAGUGAAUUUUUAGAUAUUUUGGUACUUUUACCUUAUAAGGGUAAAAUAGUCAUAUUAAUUUAUGUUAAAGCAACCUUAUUGAUGAAAUUUAAUAAAGAAACAUAAUUAAAAAAAAAAGAAAUGAAUAUAGAUUUAAUUGAUUAAUUUUUUAAUUUCUUCUUAAUUUAAAUUUUAAAAAAAUGAUGUGAACUUAUUAUAAUAAUUUUUUUUAAAAAAAAUGGGUGGGUUUAUAAAAUUUAUGGGGUGGAAAUAUCAUCACCGAAAAUCUUAUAGUUGCUGAUUUAAUAUAUUUCACAUUGAGAGCUAGGCUUGUUUAUAUAUAUGGAUAAUCAAUUAAUUAUUUCUGUUUUUUGAUCAUUUAAGUGAUAUUAUUUUUUGAGAAAGUCAUGCGUGCUCUUCGAGCAUUAUGUAAUUAUGUUAUUAUGCUGGCACGAUCGAUGCUCCACUUGAUGAAAAUUUUUGGGUUUUACUAAAAAUAAAAAUUAGAAAACCUCUACAGAAUUAUAUAUAUUAUCUGCAGCAAUCCCAAUUUGAACUGGAACAUCAAACUUCUUCAAUUUAACUGAAUCCCUCCAAAAUGGAAGAUAUCAGGAUCAAGCUAUAUAUGAUCUCAGAUGAAACCAAAUUCUAAAUGCCAUUGAAUCAGAAGCAAAGCCCAAAUGCUGUGGACAAUGCUAUGCCUCCGAAAACCAUGCAACAGAAAUACUGUAUAACAGAUCCUUUCACUUUUAUACAUAAAACUAACUCUUGCUUUUUCUUUUCCUUUUUUUUCCUCACUUUUGACCUCGUAUGAUGAUUACAGAUAUUGUUGCUCAAGAUUAAGCUUGAUUAAUUUUUAGAAUUUCCAAGCUGUGAUAUAAAUUAAUUAAAAGAAUAAAAAACACUUGGUAUAUAUGAUAUAAAUGUAAAUCAAACCUCACUCGAAAGCUAAUGUGACAGAAAUACUUUACUUAUGUGCUUUAUUUGAGUGUUUAAAAGUUUUGGCUUUGCUUAUUGAAAAUUUUCCUGGUUUAUUUUUCAAGUUUUUUGGCAGCAAAGUGGCAGCAGAUUAACAGACAACAACAAUUCAUGCACAUGCACUUGCUUCAGGUAAAAAGACAACAAUGUCUGUAUCUUAUCCUCCUGAAGAAGUACUGAAAGAAAGAUAUGCGUCGCAUUAUUUGUGAAUUAUGGUCCAAAAUCAGUAUACAAAUCUUUAUAUAUUCCAAUGCCUCAAUGAAAGAGGCGUUGUUUGCAUUAAAAAUGAACAAAAAUUUAAAAAAAAAAUUAAUGGCAUCCACCUAGAUUACUAAAUAUAUGGGGUUGUCAAAUUGUGUAUUACCUAUAGGCCACAGGCCACCUUACACUUUGGUGUAGGGUUUAGAAUCACAAUUCAACUUUGCUGGAGUGACAUGGAAAAGAUUUAAGAAUUUUCUUUUUUCUUUUAAUAUUUUCCUUAUCUUUCAGAUGCUGAAAGUUUCAAUACAAAGAAAAUUAUCUCUACAAUCACUGGAAAAGGUUUCAAUAAUAACAUUCAAACAUUUUCUCUUGCUUAAUUUUAUCUCUAUUCAUUUUUGCGGCAUCAUCUAUCUUAUAAUUCAUUCAUACUGGAAAUGCUAAGUCACCUGAUGCUCCAAUCCUAAGAAGCUGUUAUUUUUUUAUUUUUUCUCUAGAAACAGAGUUUUAUGAAAUGCCAUGCUCCGUAGAUCAGAUUGGGGAACCUUCUUGGCCAUCGAUUGACAUAUGAUCAGCUCAUUUUCUCAAGCAAUGAUUAUCUCUUUCAACUGGAAAAUGUAUAUAUCAGCUCAUUGAUUGACUCUGCUCACUCACAUACUAUUCUAUUAUCUUCUAAAGAUCUUCCCUUUGAUAAUCUUUUCCUUGCUUUACUUGCCUGCAACAUGAGAAACCCCUUAGAAACACAGAACUUGUAACAAUUAACAAACUAGAAAAUGGUUAUAAUUCUUGCAAAAAAGCAAAUUUUCAAAUGAGUUUGCAUGUCUGUUAUUGAAUAUCAUUUUCUCAAUGGCAAACUUUUCAAAUGAGUUUGCAUUUGUGUUAUUGAAUAUCAUUUUCUCAAUGACCAAAACCAGUUCUGCAUAAGAUGAUAAUGCUAACCAUUUCAGAUCAAGCUGAGUGAUUUUAAUCUUGAACUUUCAGUCAAAAGGUAUCAAUUGGUUGGAGUACAAAAGGAAAGUUGGCAUGUCUAUGCUGUUGUAAAGUGACUACACACCAUAAGAUGAAAAAUGGUUCCAAAAAGUAUUACAUGGGUCAAAAAUUUUUACUUAAAGAUCACCCGUGGCGAGAUCAAAAAAUGCAAUUUGACGGAAAGAAAGAUAAGAGAGAUGCACCAAUGCAUUAAAUAUGUGAAGAAGUCUUAAUGUUUGAGACCUAUAACAUUUGGAAAGGCUAGAAAAAAAAACAAGUUGUUGCUGGUUUUGGGAAAAAGCAUAAUUGGAAGAAACAUAUUAUUUUUUUUAGUUGCCAUUUUGGAAAACAUUGUUGCUGCUUCAUUGCUUAGAUAUUAUGCAUAUUGAGAAAAAUGUGUUUGACAAAGUGCUUGGCACUAUUCUGCCCAUUGAAGGAAAAACUAAAGACUCUUUAAAUGCUUAUUUGUAUUUUAAAGAGAUGAAAAUAAGAGCAAAACUUCACCCAAAAGAGGUUGUUGGAUAGACAGUGCUACCCACUACAUGUUAUAGUGUUAAAACUGAGCAAAAGACAAAUGUAUUAGAGUGAUUGUCAAAUUUAAAAGUUCCAGAUGGCUAUUGUGCUAAUUUCUCACAAUGUGUUAAUGUGAAAGAUGGUCACAUUUCAGGCAUGAAGGCACAUGAUUGUCAUGUAUUUUUAGAGGGUUACUACCACUGGCAGUUUAUAAUAUUUUGCCUAAACAAGUAUCUGAUCUAUUGAUUAAGAUUAAAAGGAAAUACUCAGCUCAUUAGUUUUAUUCCAACUCGUGGGAGUUAAAUAGUGCAGACUUCUAAUCUAGGAUUACAAAAUAUUCUAGUCUAUCGUGUAUAGCUAGUAACGUAUACAAAUAGAACUAAAAUAUACAGAGAAUAGGAAUUAUAGGAGAUGGAUUACAAUGAUUUCGUAACACUCCCCCUCAAGUUGGUGCAUAUAUAUCGCACAUGCCCAACUUGUUGAGACACUUAUUAAAGGCUUGGAUGGAUACCGCCUUGGCUAGCACAUCCGCAAGUUGAUCUUCCGACCGGACAUGAGGAAUCUCGAUGAUUUUUGCUUCCAGCUUUUCCUUGAUGAAGUGUCUAUCAACUUCAACAUGCUUAGUUCGAUCAUGUUGAACUGGAUUAUGUGCAAUAUCACAGACUGCUUUAUUAUCACAAUAUAACUUAAUGGGACUGACUUGUUGAAUAUAUAAAUCUUGCAUUAAAUUCUUGAUCCAUAGUAAUUCACAUAUUCCUUUGGCCAUCCCUCUGUAUUCAGCCUCAGUACUCGAUCUAGCUACAACAUCUUGUUUCUUGCUUCGCCAUGUAACUAGAUUUCCACCCACAAAUGUGAAAUAACCAGAUGUAGAACGCCUGUCAUCAAUUGAUCCAGCCCAAUCAGCAUCCGUAUACCCUUUAAUAUCCAAGUUAUCGCCUUUUGUAAACACAAUACCCUUUCCAGGAGAUGAUUUUAAGUACAGUAAAAUGCGUAUAACAACAUUCAUAUGUUCUUCCUUUGGAGAAUGCAUGAAUUGGCUGACCACACUUAAUGCAUACGCUAAGUCUGGUCGGGUGUGCCCAAGAUACAUUAGUCGGCCUACUAAUCUCUGAUAUCGUUCCUUGUUAGCUGGAACUUGAUUUGGAUCUGUGCUUAGCUUCAAAUUUUCUUCCAUAGGAGUGCUAAUUGGACUGCAAGCGGACAUCCCAGUUUCAUUUAAUAAAUCUAAGGCAUAUUUUCGCUGAGAUAAGAAAAUGCCUUUCUUUGAUCUUGACACUUCAAUUCCUAGGAAAUACUUCAGCGAACCCAAAUCUUUCAUCUCAAAUUCUUGAGCAAGAUGAUCUUGUAGUGCAGCCUUUUCUUCCGGGUCAUUUCCUAUUACUAUCAUAUCAUCAACAUAUACGAUAAGAACAAUGAUUUUUUCUCUAUUAUAUUUCAAGAAGAGGGUAUGAUCUGAAUUACUUUGUUGAUAUCCAAAAACCUUCAUAGAGCUAGUAAAUCUUCCAAACCAUGCUCUAGGAGAUUGUUUUAGGCCAUACAGAGAUUUUCGCAAUUUGCAAACCUGUUUACUUCCUUCAGCUUGCAUUUUACAUCCUGGCGGCAAUUCCAUAUAUACUUCUUCUUGGAGGUCUCCAUGCAAAAAUGCAUUUUUUACAUCAAAUUGGUGCAGUGGCCAGUCAAGAUUCACGGCUAGAGAUAAUAGAACACGAACAGUGUUGAUUUUUGCAACUGGAGCAAAUGUUUCCAUGUAAUCGACCCUAUAAGUUUGAGUAUACCCUUUGGCGACAAGCCUGGCCUUAAACCUUUCAACAAUUCCAUCAGCUUUGUAUUUAAUAGUGAAGACCCAUCUACAUCCUACAGGUGUCUUUCCUUCGGGUAAAUCAACAACCUCCCAUGUAGAAUUCUUUUGGAGAGAGUUCAUUUCUUCAUUCAUUGCUUCCUUCCACUUAGGAUCUUUCAAAGCCUCCUGCACACUGUUAGGAAUAGAUAGUACAGAUAAUUGAUUCACAAAAGAUUCACAUUCCUUUGACAACCUAUGAUAAGACACGAAAUUACUCAUAGGAUAUUUAGUUUUAGAGCUAAGAGUAGGUUCAUAAUUUAGUCGAGGUAUUCCUCUAGUAACUCGAUCAGGCAACACUUUUAAAUGGGGCUGAGGCUCAAAGUGUACCUGAGUUUCAGAGAUUGAUUCGGGUUGGAGAGACAAUUGGUUAAAUGGUACAGAUUGAGGAGAGGAAGUCGUUACUUCGUGUGGAGAGGAAGUCGUUACUUCGGGUGAUGUAGAGGCUGGCGUUACUACUUCCAUUGGAUUUUCACCAUCUAAAGUGUGAUCAGCUACUCCAUUUUGAGUUUCCCAAUUCUCCCGAUAGCUAUUGCUUGUAAAAUCUUCUAAAAAAUCUGGAGUCUGCAAUUCAACUCUAUUCUCCCCUUGAAAUGAAGUCUCAGGGAUAGAAUAAUACAUUUCAUCCUCAUGAAAUGUAACAUCAAGUGUAGUAUACGUCUUACGAGAUGGAGGGUGAUAACAUCUAUAGCCUUUUUGAUACAAACCAUAGCCGACAAAUACACACCGAACAGCUCGAGGUUCUAGUUUAUUUCUCAAGGAUUUGUGAAGAUGUACAAAGGCUACACACCCAAAUACUCUAGGUUGCUGAUUCGGCAUGGUGGGAACACUUAUAGUCUCAUGAAGUACAUGGAGAGGAGUAUGAAAUUGUAAUGAACUUGACGGAACACGAUUAAUGAGGUAGGCUGCAACUGUAACAACUUCACCCCAAUAACUCUUAGGCAUGUGGGCACCAAAUAAUGAUGCACGUACGACUUCAAGAAGAUGACGAUUCUUGCGCUCCGCAAGCCCAUUUUGUUGAGGAGAAUACGAGCAAGUUGUCUGAUGAGCAAUGCCAUGUAAAGUGAGGUACUGUUUCAAAUCGUGAUUAACAAAUUCUCCACUAUUAUCAGUGCGGAGAACCUAUAUGUGAGAUUGAUAUUGAGUUGCUAUCAUCUUGUGAAAAUUCUGGAACAAAGAACUAACUUCAUUUUUUGACUUCAUCAAACAAACCCAAGUCAUACGUGUGUGAUCAUCAAUAAAGGAAACAAACCAGCGUGCACCAUUUAAAGAGGAAACAUUUGCAGGACCCCAUACAUCUGAAUGAACAAUCAUAAAAGGUGCUGGACUUUUAUUCAUACUAGGUGGAAAAGAGACACGGUGACUCUUAGCCAUUUCACAAAUAUCACACUUAAAAUUUGAAUUAGCCAAAUGGGAGAACAACUUUGGAAAUAAUUUUUUUAAAUAUCCAAAAUAAGCAUGGCCUAAUCGCCUAUGCCACAACCAAAUUUCAGAACUUUGUGCUUUGCCCGAUCUUUCAGUUGUGAAUGCUUGAGAUAAUUGAUCUGAACUUGCUGUAGUCAAAUCAAGAUAAUAGAGCUUCCCCUUUCUAGUACCAUAACCAAUUGUCCUCCGAGUUCGGAUGUCCUUAAAAACACAAAGGUUAGGCCAAAAAAUCACAAUACAAUGCAAAACACGUGUUAUUUGAGCAACAAAUAAUAGGUUAUAGUUAAGAGAGGGAACAACAAGAACUGAUUCCAAAUUCAAAUUUUUUGUAAGAGUAAUUGAACCUUCUCCCAUGACAGGAGAGGGAGUACCAUUGGUUGUGGAUACUACAGUUUGUUUGGAUGAUUUCAUAGACAAAAUAUGAUCAGUGUCAAAAGUCAUGUGAUCCGUAACACCUGAAUCAAUUAUCCAAGCACUAUUACUAUCAGGUGUAGAGGUAUUAAGAGUCUUACCAAUAUUACCUGAAGUAGCAAUUAAAGAUGAAGAUUCCUCAGGGUUGUUCGAAGAUUUAACCACAGCAGGAGAAGCUUGAUUUUUUGUCUUUGAGUUCCGUUUGGGUGCUUUAGUAGGAUCCCACCAUUCCGGAUACCCAAUCAGUUCAUAACACCUUGACUUGGUAUGUCCAGUUCCACCACAAUACGUGCACAGACGCUCUAAUUUUGACGUUCCAAUUUCAUAGCUACGAUUUUGCGUUUCAGAUGAUUGAUGUUGAUCAAUAAUCUGUUUUGAAGAGCUAGAAUUUAGUUGUUGGUUAUUACGCCCCUGUUUGUUUCGACGAGCUAUCAGGGUAGAUGACUCAUGAUGAUCAAGUUCUUCAUUUACUGUUGUCCUCCGCAUAGCAUCACGCCGCACAUAUGCAUAUGUUUCUUCAAAGUCUAGUGCCGGAUCCUUCCUGAGGAUCUCUCCUCUGAGUUGUUCAAAUUCUGCAUCUAGUCCAUUAAGGAAGAUGUGCACUCUCAAGCGUUCAACUGAUUUUUUAUAUGCAGUGACAUCAUCGGGGUCUUUCAUUAUGACCUUAUCACGAUAAUCUAGCUCUUGAAAAAUCUCUACAAGAUCACCAUAAUAUGUUGAUAAGGGACGUCCAACCUGUUUAGUAGAGAAAGCUCGUUGAUUUAGUGCAAAGAUUUGUGAUUCAUCUGACCCAUCGUAGAAAGCUUUAGCCAAAGCAUUCCAUAUUUCCCUUGCGGUGCGUAAUCUGAGAUAACGUUUCAUGAUUUCAGGUGACAUGGAUGUCAAUAACCAUCCCUUGACUUUUUGAUUUUCUGCAUACCACUUUGUAUAGAAAGCAUCAGUCUCCAAUGGUUGAUCUGUUUCACCUAUAAUAUAUUCAAGUUUUUCACGUCCUGCAAUGUGCAUCUCCAUGAUUUGGGACCACACAUCAUAGUUAGUUUCAGUAAGAGUAACACCAGCUUUGAGGCCUGAGUUUUCAUAUUGAACAUGUAUGAUUGGUGUAGACGAUUCAGAUUUACUUUCGGCCAUGGUACAAAGAACAGAUGAGAAUUCGGAUACGAUAAUAAGAGCAAAGCUCUGAUACCAAGUAGAAAACAAUGGUACAGAGGAAAUAAGAUUCAAAGGAAAUACUCAGCUCAAUUCUUUUAUUCCAACUCGUGGGAGUUAAAUAGUGCAGACUUCUAAUUUAGGAUUACAAAAUAUUCUAGUCUAUCGUGUACAACUAGUAACGUAUACAAAUAGAACUAAAAUAUACAGAGAAGAGGAAUUAUAGGAGAUGGAUUACAAUGAUUUUGUAACAGAUAUAAAACAAUUAUUAUUUAAAUGAUUGUUAUGAACAAACCUCACUGCAGCACCAAGUCCAUAUGGGAUUGCAGAGAGGGUUUGAAUAGUACUGAGACUGCCCAAAGAAGUUGACAAAUAAUGAGCAGUCGGGAAAAAAAAGAAAAAAAGAAAAAAAAAUCUAUUUCCUUUGGUAGGUGCUUCUCUGCAUAGAACUUUCACAUACAAAGUCUAUGUCAACAUACCAUACAGAUAGGACUGAAGUUUCAAGCUGUGGGUUAGGCAACAGCCCUGACAUUAAAAUGAGCAAUUCAAAUGACCACCAUUCUAGGCUGCAAAAUUAUAAACGAAAGAAGAUGCAUGAAAAUUUAUGACGUGUCUACGAUAUCUAUGAGAAGGGAAAAUGAAACUCCAGAAGAUAAUUAACAUACCAAACCAUUACUGCAGAAGGGAUAGCAAAGUGGAAGAACUCUCCAAUUCCUCGGAACAACUCCAUUGAAAUUGGAGCCCUGGAUUCUGCACUAGCAGUGGAGAACUUCAUGUAAAUUGCCAAGAAAGUUACAUUCAACCAAUACGAUAUACCAAUUGCCAAUGCUCCUCCAAGGUUUCCCAGUCCAGACUUGAAUACCAAAGCCCAACAGCUGGGAAUAUGCAAACAAAGAGCGGCAUAGGAGCUUAAGAACAUGGGAAUGAUCAAACUUUGAGACUGAAAAUAUCGAAUAAGCGCUUGCAUUGCUGCAUAAGCAAACAGAGCUGGAAGAAGCCAGAUUAUAAACUUGCCUACUUCGUGUGAAAUCUGGGGGUCUUGGCCUACCAAAACUAGCAGCCUUCCCAUGUAAAUCCCUAGAAAGGAAAGCGGAAAACAUGCUAAGAAUAAACAAAAUAUUGCAGUGUAAAUUUGAGUUCCAAUUCUUUGAUAUUGCUGAGCUCCAUAUGCUUGCCCACAUAAUGUUUCCAGAGCACUCGCCAUUCCUAACUGUUUCAAAGAAACUAUUACACAAUUCAAGUUAGCUGUAGAAUUUUUUUUUUUUUUUAAAAAAGAGCAAAUCAAGUCCUUUAAAAAUUAAUGGCAUUUUUACAAACAGGGUAUUAGUUAAUUGCAUGUUUUUUAACAUCAGAAAUUUGGCAUAUCUAUUUGUUUAAAUCCCACAUGCAAUGAUGCAAAUACCUAUCAAAAGAAAGAAUAAACAAUCUUGUGUAUAUAACUAUAUAUGGAUUGUAGGACUCACAAGGACGCUGAAGCCGGUGACGCUAGCUAGAGAGAUGGCCAUGGCGGUGCUAGAAAGAGCAAGUUGACCAAGAUGACCAACCAUCAUCAUGGAAACAACUUGAAGCAAAUACUGUGAUAAAGUUACAGCCACCAUUGGUGCUGCUAUGUAACCCUGCUUUUUCACUUCUCCACUCAACAAAUCCCAUGUUGUGGAUGUUGAUGAUAAACUCUCUUUUGGUAUUAAUAAACUCUUUUCCAUAUUCUUUUCUGUAUCGUUGUCUCUCAUGGCCACCCCUCUCCCUCUCUUUCUCUUGUGUGUAAAAUUUACAUAGACUUAAGACGGAGAGUUGUUCCCGUCUCGUCAUUUUUCAGGUGUUCGGAUUUAUAUAGAAGAGGUGGAGCCAGGGAACAAAACGUCAUUUAUAUGGAGUUAUUGGGCCUAAAAUGCUAAAAUUGUAGAGUAAAUGAGUCUCACAAGGUUUUCAGGAGAAUAUCAUAAUAUGUCUUCAGUUGGGAUGAUGAUAUGAUACCUCUUCUCGUAUCAAAAACACAGCACCAGCAGGGCUAGCUGGGCACCUAAAACAAACGCCAAACAUAUAAUUAAUCCAUAUCUGACCAGACACAUGGCUGAAGUGAAGCUCCACGGGGGAUGGGCGAGUCCAUUUAGCAACAAGGUGGUUGUUUGGGAAGGAAAUAUGAGACCAAUGAUGAAGCGCCACGUGUCGAUAUUUAAGAGAUUAAUUUGUCUCGGGUACCUCGGGUACUCUAGGUACCCCGGCUACUCUAAGGACUUCGGGGGUACCUCGGGUACACCAUGAAAAGAUAUAAAAAUCUUAGUAAAUAUGUGAAGGGAUAUGUGGGCCCUGAAUCUAAAAAAGAUCGGUUUGAUACGUGUCGAAAAAUAAGGAAAUCUUGUGCCGCAAAAGAGAAGACUGCCGCCUGUCACGCCAGCGAAUCCGCCAAAAGUGUGAUAUUGUGACAGUUGGGACCACCAGCUUUUCCUGCUACACCUACAAAAUUACAACGGAAUUGCAGAGGUACGCGGGACCACUCCACUACGCCCAGCACGUGAAUACGCCACAAACUUGCUCUCCACUGAUAUUUUUGAAACGUCUAAGCCACCUUACGCAUAAAAAUAAGAAUAUUCCUGA
RNAcentral lists this long non-coding RNA (25391 nucleotides) under Citrus sinensis (sweet orange). RNAcentral's name for it is "long non-coding RNA (CSIN_LNC004955)". The record is from RNAcentral. Lineage: Eukaryota; Viridiplantae; Streptophyta; Magnoliopsida; Sapindales; Rutaceae.